This 483-nucleotide long non-coding RNA is filed under the name Apteryx rowi (Okarito brown kiwi). RNAcentral describes it as "lncRNA (ENSARWG00000005555.1)". Lineage: Eukaryota; Metazoa; Chordata; Aves; Apterygiformes; Apterygidae. The record is from RNAcentral.
GCCGCGGGCAGCCGCGCCGUGAGGCUGCUGCCCCGGUGGUCUCCUGCCAGCGCGGAGACGCUUCAUGUCUUACCUCAGAUGCGUUUCGGGAGGAGAAACAUGUCAAAUGCUGCCUUUAAACCAGAUCAGAUGGGAAAUGCAGGGUGUGCGUCGUCCACCGAGCAAGGACCUGCUUAUCACAAAAGGGAGCCACCAUGAAGGGAGAAAGAUGGCACAGUAUUCACAGAGGACAGCUUAUCCGAGUUACAGGCUGCACGGCACAGGAAUCUCUGUCUCCAUUCACUGCAGAGGGAGCCAAGGGAAAUUAGCUUUAGCAGGUGAAACAGAAAAUAAACCCUCUGGAAAGGGCACGACGUGACGCUACUAGUGUGAGCUUCCCCGAGGCCUGGCCCGUGAGCGGAGCGCGGGGCCGGCAAGGAAGAGGCGGCAGAGGCAGGGUGUAAGGUGGCGCGGGGGAGAUGCGGCCGUGCCCCGGUGCCGAAC